AUUGAACGCUGGCGGCAUGCUUUACACAUGCAAGUCGAACGGUAACAGGUCUUCGGAUGCUGACGAGUGGCGAACGGGUGAGUAAUGCAUCGGAACGUGCCCAGUCGUGGGGGAUAACGCAGCGAAAGCUGUGCUAAUACCGCAUACGAUCUAUGGAUGAAAGCGGGGGAUCGCAAGACCUCGCGCGAUUGGAGCGGCCGAUGUCAGAUUAGCUAGUUGGUGGGGUAAAGGCCCACCAAGGCGACGAUCUGUAGCUGGUCUGAGAGGACGACCAGCCACACUGGGACUGAGACACGGCCCAGACUCCUACGGGAGGCAGCAGUGGGGAAUUUUGGGACAAUGGGCGCAAGCCUGAUCCAGCAAUGCCGCGUGCAGGAAGAAAGGCCUUCGGGUUGUAAACUGCUUUGUACGGAAGAAAUCGCACAGGCUAAUACUCUGUGUGGAUGACGGUACCAGCACAAGAA
RNAcentral lists this ribosomal RNA (464 nucleotides) under uncultured bacterium. RNAcentral's name for it is "bacterial SSU rRNA". It matches the Rfam family "Bacterial small subunit ribosomal RNA", at positions 30 to 489 of the family's 1533-position model. The record is from RNAcentral.